CAUGCCGUAAACGAUGAGUGCUAAGUGUUAGGGGGGUUCCACCCCUUAGUGCUGCAGCUAACGCAUUAAGCACUCCGCCUGGGGAGUACGACCGCAAGGUUGAAACUCAAAGGAAUUGACGGGGGCCCGCACAAGCGGUGGAGCAUGUGGUUUAAUUCGAAGCAACGCGAAGAACCUUACCAGGUCUUGACAUCCCAGUGACCGCUCUAGAGAUAGAGUUUUCCCUUCGGGGACAUUGGUGACAGGUGG
This 249-nucleotide ribosomal RNA is filed under the name uncultured bacterium. RNAcentral's name for it is "partial 16S ribosomal RNA". It matches the Rfam family "Bacterial small subunit ribosomal RNA", at positions 796 to 1041 of the family's 1533-position model. The record is from RNAcentral.